Molecule: ribosomal RNA, 484 nt
Filed under: uncultured bacterium
Lineage: Bacteria
Description: partial 16S ribosomal RNA
Rfam family: Bacterial small subunit ribosomal RNA
Source: RNAcentral
AUUGAACGCUGGCGGCAUGCUUUACACAUGCAAGUCGAACGGCAGCGCGGGCUUCGGCCUGGCGGCGAGUGGCGAACGGGUGAGUAAUGCGUCGGAACGUGCCCAGUAGUGGGGGAUAGCCCGGCGAAAGCCGGAUUAAUACCGCAUACGACCUGAGGGUGAAAGCGGGGGACCGAAAGGCCUCGCGCUAUUGGAGCGGCCGAUGUCGGAUUAGCUAGUUGGUGGGGUAAAGGCUUACCAAGGCGACGAUCCGUAGCUGGUCUGAGAGGACGACCAGCCACCCUGGGACUGAGACACGGCCCAGACUCCUACGGGAGGCAGCAGUGGGGAAUUUUGGACAAUGGGGGCAACCCUGAUCCAGCCAUGCCGCGUGCGGGAAGAAGGCCUUCGGGUUGUAAACCGCUUUUGUUCGGGAAGAAAUCCUCUGGGCUAAUACCCCGGGGGGAUGACGGUACCGGAAGAAUAAGCACCGGCUAACUACGUG